RNAcentral lists this ribosomal RNA (175 nucleotides) under uncultured bacterium. RNAcentral's name for it is "partial 16S ribosomal RNA". It matches the Rfam family "Bacterial small subunit ribosomal RNA", at positions 335 to 527 of the family's 1533-position model. The record is from RNAcentral.
ACUCCUACGGGAGGCAGCAGUAGGGAAUAUUGCUCAAUGGGGGAAACCCUGAAGCAGCAACGCCGCGUGGAGGAUGAAGGUUUUAGGAUUGUAAACUCCUUUUGUUAGAGAAGAUUAUGACGGUAUCUAACGAAUAAGCACCGGCUAACUCCGUGCCAGCAGCCGCGGUAAUACA